GAUGAACGCUGACAGAAUGCUUAACACAUGCAAGUCUUUGGCGAAGCUGUGCUUGCACAGCCUAGCCAAGGCGGACGGGUGAGUAACGCGUAAGGAACUUGCCCUGCAGUCAGGGAUAACAGACGGAAACGACUGAUAAGACCUGGUAAAGUCAGGCGGACUCAUGUCCAGCCUGAUGAAAAGAGAUGCUGCAGGAGAGCCUUGCGUCCUAUUAGCUUGUUGGUGGGGUAACGGCCCACCAAGGCGAUGAUAGGUAGCCGGCCUGAGAGGGUGGACGGCCACAAGGGGACUGAGAUUCGGCCCUUACUCCUACGGGAGGCAGCAGUGGGGAAUAUUGGACAAUGGGGGCAACCCUGAUCCAGCAAUUCUGUGUGCACGAUGAAGGUUUUCGGAUUGUAAAGUGCUUUCAGCAGGGAAGAAAAAAUGACGGUACCUGCAGAAGAAGCGACGGCUAAAUACGUG
This 462-nucleotide ribosomal RNA is filed under the name uncultured bacterium. Its description in RNAcentral is "partial 16S ribosomal RNA". It matches the Rfam family "Bacterial small subunit ribosomal RNA", at positions 28 to 507 of the family's 1533-position model. The record is from RNAcentral.